GACUUUGAUAGUCAUCCAUCGCGUCAAACCUAUACAUCCUAGAGAUCAGCCUCCAGAGGUAUGAAACCUACACUUCUAAGUGCACUAUCUACAAGAAACGAGUCAUGGAGAAGGUCAAGGUUUUGAGACUUUGGGGUUCAAUUAAUCUAUCAACAAAUGAAGUCAUUAGUGCUGAUAUGUUUUUAGUAGAUAAGAAGGGCAAUACAAUCAAUGCUUCUAUUGGAACUAAGCUGAUCAGCAAGUUUAAGUCAAAGUUUAAAGAGAACUCCAUCUACAUAUUGAAGAACUUCAGUGUUUGUGAAUAUGACAAGUAUCGACCUUUGAAAAAUAAUUUCUGAUACAACGGUAAAGGCAGUUCUAGAAGAAUCACGGAACUUCUGGACUAUUACUUUGAGUUUGCUGAUAAUAGUACCUUAUGGAGUAGAGAAAGUAACGAUGCAUAAUGUUCAGAUGUUAUUGGCAUGCUUAGAGUGAUAAAAACAAUAGAUAAGGACAUGUCAAAUAAGAGCACUUCAAACAUCCGUAUAGACAUUCUUUUGUUGGAGUAAGUCAGUAAGUUAUAGCAUUAUUUAGCAAAAGAUUUUGCC
This is a non-coding RNA of Lolium perenne, 587 nucleotides long. Lineage: Eukaryota; Viridiplantae; Streptophyta; Magnoliopsida; Poales; Poaceae. The record is from RefSeq and is a predicted model, not a curated record.